GACGAACGCUGGCGGCGUGCCUAAUACAUGCAAGUCGAACGCUUCUUUCCUCCCGAGUGCUUGCACUCAAUUGGAAAGAGGAGUGGCGGACGGGUGAGUAACACGUGGGUAACCUACCCAUCAGAGGGGGAUAACACUUGGAAACAGGUGCUAAUACCGCAUAACAGUUUAUGCCGCAUGGCAUAAGAGUGAAAGGCGCUUUCGGGUGUCGCUGAUGGAUGGACCCGCGGUGCAUUAGCUAGUUGGUGAGGUAACGGCUCACCAAGGCCACGAUGCAUAGCCGACCUGAGAGGGUGAUCGGCCACACUGGGACUGAGACACGGCCCAGACUCCUACGGGAGGCAGCAGUGGGGAAUCUUCGGCAACGGACGAAAGUCUGACCGAGCAACGCCGCGUGAGUGAAGAAGGUUUUCGGAUCGUAAAACUCUGUUGUUAGAGAAGAACAAGGACGUUAGUAACUGAACGUCCCCUGACGGUAUCUAACCAGAAAGCCACGGCUAACUACGUG
RNAcentral lists this ribosomal RNA (508 nucleotides) under uncultured bacterium. Its description in RNAcentral is "partial 16S ribosomal RNA". It matches the Rfam family "Bacterial small subunit ribosomal RNA", at positions 28 to 507 of the family's 1533-position model. The record is from RNAcentral.